ACUUUCUGCCCCAAGAGGGAUGGCUGACGGCAGACACUCACAACCAGCACAGACGCCUCCAACCUCAGACUAGGCCCUUCACAGUUGCUGCACUUACCCACCUUCCCCGAGUUUUUGUGUGGUAAUGACAACUGUAAAUAUAGUAUAAAGUAAUGUAUCUAGUGUCAUGUGUAAUACAUUGUUUAAAUUGUCCAUACAUUUCAAUGACAGUAAAUAUUGGUGGACACAA
This is a long non-coding RNA of Engraulis encrasicolus (European anchovy), 229 nucleotides long. RefSeq lists it as uncharacterized. The transcript is spliced from 2 exons. The record is from RefSeq and is a predicted model, not a curated record. NCBI's taxonomy places the organism in Eukaryota, Metazoa, Chordata, Actinopteri, Clupeiformes, Engraulidae.